AGAGAGAGAGAGAGAGAGAGAUGUAUGCAAUUUGCUGUGAAGGUGAGGGAAUAUUUUGCUUUGUGAAGUUGUUAACACAGGUGUUGUAUAUAUACAAAUUAUAAAGAUCAGGAAGGCUUAGCAAACUCAUCAAAGGCUGAUUAAUAUUUAAACACUAUUUGAAGUAUCCAUGACCACAACAAGAAAGCUUAUUUUCUAAUUUCCUUGUAGAAGCUUCAAUACAGGCUGCAAAAUAUCAUAUCAUUUCUGUAAAUCUUCUUCUCAGUGCAGUUUGAAUAAAUCAAGCAUUUCAUUUUUUUAAAGAAUAAAUAAAAGGAACAGUUGAUUUUAUUAUUUGGGUUCACUUUCAUAUAGGCAGGUAUGUCUCUCAUCUGGUAAUUAUUUUAUUUUAUGACAACUUUACCCUCCGUUUUACACUAUUUAAACCAAUAUCAAGUUUUGUUUGAAGGGUACUUUGGGUAUUAGAUGGACAAGGCAGUCAAACCAGCGAUUGAGGUCUAUAUCUGCAAGACUGCAACAACACGGGCCUUUUUCCCGUGCUCGAUGAAACCUCACAAUGAAAGAUAAUUUAAUGAUUAAAAAAUAUAUUAUAUAAUUUUAUUUUUUA
Molecule: unclassified non-coding RNA, 607 nt
Filed under: Hevea brasiliensis (rubber tree)
Lineage: Eukaryota; Viridiplantae; Streptophyta; Magnoliopsida; Malpighiales; Euphorbiaceae
Source: RNAcentral